Molecule: non-coding RNA, 90 nt
Organism: Arthrobacter sp. Edens01
Lineage: Bacteria; Bacillati; Actinomycetota; Actinomycetes; Micrococcales; Micrococcaceae
Source: Rfam
UGUAGUGACACGGGGUGCCGCAAGGCUGAGAUGAGACCCGUCGAACCUGAUCUAGUUAGAACUAGCGAAGGGAUGUCGCCGAUGACUAUU